AGAAUCAACGCUGGCGGCGUGCCUAACACAUGCAAGUCGCACGAGAAAGGGUAGCAAUACCUGAGUAAAGUGGCGCACGGGUGAGUAACACGUGAAUGAUCUACCUCCGAGUGGGGAAUAACUGAGAGAAAUCUUAGCUAAUACCGCAUAACACUUACGAGUCAAAGCAGCAAUGCGCUUGGGGAGGAGGUCGCGGCCGAUUAGCUAGUUGGCGGGGUAAUGGCCCACCAAGGCGAUGAUCGGUAUC
Molecule: ribosomal RNA, 247 nt
Filed under: uncultured bacterium
Lineage: Bacteria
Description: partial small subunit ribosomal RNA
Rfam family: Bacterial small subunit ribosomal RNA
Source: RNAcentral